GGCUCAGGACGAACGCUGGCGGCGUGCUUAACACAUGCAAGUCGAACGGGAAACCUUUUAUUGAAGCUUCGGCAGAUUUAGCUGGUUUCUAGUGGCGGACGGGUGAGUAACGCGUGGGUAACCUGCCUUAUACAGGGGGAUAACAACCAGAAAUGGUUGCUAAUACCGCAUAAGCGCACAGGACCGCAUGGUCCGGUGUGAAAAACUCCGGUGGUAUAAGAUGGACCCGCGUUGGAUUAGCUAGUUGGCAGGGUAACGGCCUACCAAGGCGACGAUCCAUAGCCGGCCUGAGAGGGUGAACGGCCACAUUGGGACUGAGACACGGCCCAGACUCCUACGGGAGGCAGCAGUAGG
Molecule: ribosomal RNA, 354 nt
Filed under: uncultured Ruminococcus sp.
Lineage: Bacteria; Bacillati; Bacillota; Clostridia; Eubacteriales; Oscillospiraceae
Description: bacterial SSU rRNA
Rfam family: Bacterial small subunit ribosomal RNA
Source: RNAcentral